This 75-nucleotide transfer RNA is filed under the name Oceanicola sp. 502str15. Its description in RNAcentral is "tRNA-OTHER". It matches the Rfam family "tRNA". Rfam says of the family: Transfer RNA (tRNA) molecules are approximately 80 nucleotides in length. Their secondary structure includes four short double-helical elements and three loops (D, anti-codon, and T loops). Further hydrogen bonds mediate the characteristic L-shaped molecular structure. tRNAs have two regions of fundamental functional importance: the anti-codon, which is responsible for specific mRNA codon recognition, and the 3' end, to which the tRNAs corresponding amino acid is attached (by aminoacyl-tRNA synthetases). tRNAs cope with the degeneracy of the genetic code in two manners: having more than one tRNA (with a specific anti-codon) for a particular amino acid; and 'wobble' base-pairing, i.e. permitting non-standard base-pairing at the 3rd anti-codon position. Lineage: Bacteria; Pseudomonadati; Pseudomonadota; Alphaproteobacteria; Rhodobacterales; Roseobacteraceae. The record is from RNAcentral.
GCGCGUGUAGCUCAGUUGGAAGAGCGCCGGGGUCCGCCCCGGAGGACGGGGGUUCAGCUCCUCUCACGUGCGCCA